Long non-coding RNA from Oncorhynchus tshawytscha (Chinook salmon), 1170 nucleotides. NCBI's taxonomy places the organism in Eukaryota, Metazoa, Chordata, Actinopteri, Salmoniformes, Salmonidae. The record is from Ensembl.
GUUGUGGGAGCUGUGAGGGUGCACGAACAAUGAGAACCCACAUGACAAACAAUAACGCACAAAACAGAGAGGGAAAUCAGAGGGUUAAAUAAGGAACAUAAUUAAUGGAAUGGAAACCAGGUGUGUAUGAUCAAGACAAAACAAAACGAAACAUGGAUCUAUGGUGGCGAGAAAGCCGGUGACGUCGACCGCCGCCCGAAGAAGGAGAGGGACCAACUUCGGCCGAAGUCGUGACAUUUGCACACACUGUAUAUAGACUUUCUAUUGUGUUAUUGACUGUAAGUUUGUUUAUCCCAAGUGUAUCUCUGUGUUGUUGUUUUUGUGCACUGAUUUGCUUUAUCCUUGCCAGUUGUAAAUGAGAACUUGUUCUCAAUUGGCCUACCUGGUUAUAUAAAGGUAAACGAUUUUUUAAAAUAGAUAUAUAUAUAUAUAUAAAAUAUAUAGAUAUAAAUUCCCGCCUCAGUUUGCUCACGGGAACCCCCGCACGCUGCUCAUUCACUCCAGGAGCUGUCACCCUGUCUCUCUCUCUCCUCCUCUCUCUCUCUCAAACUGACACACACCAAGUAGCUCGAGCCCCAGUGGAGACGCUGCUGACGCUCUGCUCGCUCCACCGACAACACCGAGUCACGUUCUGUUCUUUUCUCGCUCCACCGACAACACCGAGUCACGUUCUGUUCUUCUCUCGCUCCACAGACAACACCAAGUCACGGUAUGUUCUUCUCUGGCAGAACCGGAGAGCGAAAGCCCUUUAGGAUUCUAUCUAUCGCGUGUGAUAUUUGGAGCUGAACGACCGGUCGUGACGGAGGACGCGAGGGGAAAUACAAAAAAAGAGCGAAAGGGAGAAAAGAAAAGGUGGUGUCCUCCCAUCAGAAACACUCUGAGAGCAGCUUGACAGCACAGGACGGAAGGAGGGAGGGAGAGAGAGAGAGAGAGAGAGAGAGAGAGAGCCGACCAUCUGUGAAUCACAUCAAGGCAGCUGUGGUUAGAGUGGACUGCAGUUAUUUUACGAACGAGAGGCAGAGAGGGGGAUAGAAGUGGAGAGAAGGAGAGGGGAUAGAAGUGGAGAGAAGGAGGGGGAUAGAAGUGGAGAGAAGGAGAGGGGAUAGAAGUGGAGAGAAGGAGAGGGGAUAGAAGUGGAGAGAAGGAGAGGGGAUAGAAGUGGAGAGAAGG